UAUAAGUGGAUUUCCACCUCUGUCUUUCUGACCAACAGAAGUGUUGAGGUCGGGCUGUGCUUUAAGAACUUAAUUCGUAGUUAUUAUAUAUUACCGUCGAGUUGCCGUCUUCUGCACUUCCUAAGGUAUCUUAUAUAAAUCUCCCCACCACAUCGCAAAUGACGUAAUAAAUAGCAGCAGGUCCUCUCGACAACAUGCCAG
Long non-coding RNA from Scleropages formosus (Asian bonytongue), 201 nucleotides. RefSeq lists it as uncharacterized. The transcript is spliced from 3 exons. The record is from RefSeq and is a predicted model, not a curated record. Lineage: Eukaryota; Metazoa; Chordata; Actinopteri; Osteoglossiformes; Osteoglossidae.